Molecule: long non-coding RNA, 710 nt
Filed under: Cavia porcellus (domestic guinea pig)
Lineage: Eukaryota; Metazoa; Chordata; Mammalia; Rodentia; Caviidae
Description: lncRNA (ENSCPOG00000035960.1)
Source: RNAcentral
AAGUGAAGGGUGUUUGUCUCCCUGGAAACCACUUGCUAAUCUGCAGGACGAUGUCUUUUUGCAGGCAAGGGAGGUGGAGGCAGCCAUCGAGGGGAUGCUCCUCCUGCUGGAAGAGUUUUGCAGCCUGAUGGACACGAUCAGGAGCGACACUUCACAGAUCUUGGAGGAGAACAUUCCGCUCCUUAAGGCCAGAGUGACAGAAAUGCGAGACAUCUAUGCCAAAGUGGACCGGCUCGAGGCCUUCGUCAGGAUGGUUGGGCACCACGCUACCUUCCUGGAAGCCCACGUGCGGCAGGCCGAACACAACUGUGGUGCCUUCCCACAGACCCUGCGCAGGUGGCUGGGUUCAGUGUGGCCCUCGUCCUUCAGAAAGAAACCAUCUGCAGCAGUGCCUGCGGCGGUUGAGCUGCCCACACUGUUCCGGAUGGAGGACUACUUCCCUGCAGACACCCCAGAGGUGCAGCGUCGUGGCCCCGACUGCCUCAGCCCCUGUGAGCUUUGCCAUCCUGCUGGGAUGUGGGACUGAAGCCCCGUACACAGAGUUGCUUCCCCUUUGUCAGUGGUUUGGUUUUUUUGCAUUUCCUCCCCAUGGAGUCCAGAGUACCUAUGGGGACCCCCAUGUGCCCGUGCUUGGUGAGCCUGGUAGCGCCUGCCCCAUCUGUCAGCCUGCUGUGCUGGGGCCAAGGUGCUUGGGUGGCUGGGCCGGAUGA